RNAcentral lists this ribosomal RNA (397 nucleotides) under uncultured bacterium. Its description in RNAcentral is "partial 16S ribosomal RNA". It matches the Rfam family "Bacterial small subunit ribosomal RNA", at positions 523 to 918 of the family's 1533-position model. The record is from RNAcentral.
AUACGAAGGGUGCAAGCGUUGUUCGGAUUUACUGGGCGUAAAGCGUCCGUAGGUGGUUUGUUAAGUCAGGGGUGAAAUCCCGGGGCCUAACCCCGGAACUGCCUUUGAUACUGGCAGGCUGGAGCGCGAUAGAGGAAGAUGGAAUAUCUGGUGUAGGGGUGAAAUCCGUAGAUAUCAGAUAGAACACCAAUGGCGAAGGCAGUCUUCUGGAUCGUUGCUGACACUGAGGGACGAAAGCGUGGGUAGCAAACAGAAUUAGAUACUCUGGUAGUCCACGCCCUAAACGAUGCAUGCUUGUUGUUGGUUUCCUUCGGGGAAUCAGUGACGAAGCUAACGCGUUAAGCAUGCCGCCUGGGGACUACGAUCGCAAGAUUAAAACUUAAAGGAAUUGGCGGGG